Molecule: long non-coding RNA, 213 nt
Filed under: Erythranthe guttata (spotted monkey flower)
Lineage: Eukaryota; Viridiplantae; Streptophyta; Magnoliopsida; Lamiales; Phrymaceae
Description: long non-coding RNA (EGUT_LNC001209)
Source: RNAcentral
CUUAUGCAGUUGCUCUGAAUGAUGAGUUUCAUUGGUGGUGGGAGCUGACUCAUGUUUUCUACAAUAUGAAGGGAGCUGACUCAUGUUUUUUAAGUUUCAAGUGUUAGAGUUUUAGAAUAUUAGUUAAUCCAGAUAUUUCACAUUUUUAUAGUGUAGGACUGAUUCCAUCAUGUUGCCUAGCUUGAAAGAUUAUUUGUAGUAGUAUGACUUUAU